AUACUUACCUGGCAGGGGAGGUACCAUGAUCACGAAGGUGGUUUUCCCAGGGCAAGGCUUAUCCAUUGCACUCCGGAUGUGCUGACCCCUGCGAUUUCCCCAAAUGUGGGAAACUCGACUGCAUAAUUUGUGGUGUAUAGAAUAAUGAUACAGCAUUAACAGCAC
This 165-nucleotide small nuclear RNA is filed under the name Myotis davidii. RNAcentral describes it as "U1 spliceosomal RNA". It matches the Rfam family "U1 spliceosomal RNA". From Rfam's summary of the family: U1 is a small nuclear RNA (snRNA) component of the spliceosome (involved in pre-mRNA splicing). Its 5' end forms complementary base pairs with the 5' splice junction, thus defining the 5' donor site of an intron. There are significant differences in sequence and secondary structure between metazoan and yeast U1 snRNAs, the latter being much longer (568 nucleotides as compared to 164 nucleotides in human). The record is from Rfam by way of RNAcentral. Lineage: Eukaryota; Metazoa; Chordata; Mammalia; Chiroptera; Vespertilionidae.